This 449-nucleotide ribosomal RNA is filed under the name uncultured bacterium. RNAcentral's name for it is "partial 16S ribosomal RNA". It matches the Rfam family "Bacterial small subunit ribosomal RNA", at positions 29 to 523 of the family's 1533-position model. The record is from RNAcentral.
AGCGAACGCUGGCGGCAGGCUUAACACAUGCAAGUCGAGCGGACCUUUCGGGGUCAGCGGCGGACGGGUGAGUAACGCGUGGGAACGUGCCUUCCGGUUCGGAAUAACCCUGGGAAACUAGGGCUAAUACCGGAUACGCCCUUAUGGGGAAAGGUUUACUGCCGGAAGAUCGGCCCGCGUCUGAUUAGCUAGUUGGUGGGGUAACGGCCUACCAAGGCGACGAUCAGUAGCUGGUCUGAGAGGAUGAUCAGCCACACUGGGACUGAGACACGGCCCAGACUCCUACGGGAGGCAGCAGUGGGGAAUAUUGGACAAUGGGCGCAAGCCUGUUCCAGCCAUGCCGCGUGAGUGAUGAAGGCCUUAGGGUUGUAAAGCUCUUUUAUCCGGGACGAUAAUGACGGUACCGGAGGAAUAAGCCCCGGCUAACUUCGUGCCAGCCGCCGCCGUAA